UACGUAGGGUGCAAGCGUUGUCCGGAGUUACUGGGCGUAAAGGGCAUGCAGGCGGUCCGACACGUUUUGUGUGACAGCGGGUGGCUUAACUACCCGAGGAUACGAAAGACGGUUGGACUUGAGGACUCGAGAGGGACACGGAAUUCCGGGUGGAGUGGUGAAAUGCGUAGAGAUCCGGAGGAACACCGAAGGCGAAGGCAGUGUCCUGGCGAGUGACUGACGCUGAGGUGCGAAAGCCAGGGGAGCGAACGGG
This 253-nucleotide ribosomal RNA is filed under the name uncultured bacterium. Its description in RNAcentral is "partial 16S ribosomal RNA". It matches the Rfam family "Bacterial small subunit ribosomal RNA", at positions 524 to 776 of the family's 1533-position model. The record is from RNAcentral.